GAUGAACGCUGGCGGCGUGCCUAAUACAUGCAAGUCGAGCGAACAGACGAUGAUCUUUCUCCUCUGACUUUAUCGGCUGACGUGUUUUUAACACGUGUAUAACCUACCUAUUUUUCUUGUAUAACUUCGUGAAACCGUUUCUUAUACCGUAUAAUAUAUUUAACCUCUUUGUUCUUUAUUUCAAUUCGUUUUUUCUUUCUCUUUUAGAUUUUUCCGCGCCGCAUUAGCUAGUUGGUAAGGUAACGGCUUACCAAGGCAACGAUGCGUAGCCGACCUGAGAGGGGGAUCGGCCAAACGGGAACUGAGACACGGACAAGACGCCUACGGGAGGCAGCAGUAGGGAAGAGUACGCAAUGGGGGAAAGAAGGACGGAGCAAGGCCGCGUGAGUGAUGAAGGACUUAGGAUCGUAAAAAGAUGUUAUGAGGGAAGAAAAAAUGUGGAAGAAAAUAUGAACGGAAUGACGGUAACGAAAAAGAAAGCAACGGCUAACUACGUG
Molecule: ribosomal RNA, 497 nt
Filed under: uncultured bacterium
Lineage: Bacteria
Description: partial 16S ribosomal RNA
Rfam family: Bacterial small subunit ribosomal RNA
Source: RNAcentral